Molecule: long non-coding RNA, 373 nt
Organism: Ictalurus punctatus (channel catfish)
Lineage: Eukaryota; Metazoa; Chordata; Actinopteri; Siluriformes; Ictaluridae
Source: Ensembl
UCUGGUCUUGUCAGUCUCUACGUGAGUAGCUACCAUUCAGGCUCCCUUAGUGGUGACCUCGGGUAUGAAGCGCUAUCCGCUUUCUCCAGCUUUCUCCAGCUUUCUCCAGCUUUCUCCAGAACAGAGGAAAGGACUCGACUGUUAACUGUGUUCGUACCCUUUGAACUGUUGGUGCCAUCCCUGCUCAGGCGGACAGCUACGAGGGACUUUCUAGGCCAGUGGAUCUCAACCAGGGCGGCGCGGAGCGAUCGGAAGGAAGGAGUCUCCAGUGUCAGAAGUAAAGAGUUCAGGGAUUCAUUUGGGAACAGGUCAGCAGAGCUUUAGGAGGGAAUGAGGAGGAGAAGAGGCAUUCUGAUGGCAUUUUGGCAUAUGG